Molecule: ribosomal RNA, 467 nt
Filed under: uncultured bacterium
Lineage: Bacteria
Description: partial 16S ribosomal RNA
Rfam family: Bacterial small subunit ribosomal RNA
Source: RNAcentral
GACGAACGCUGGCGGUGUGCUUAACACAUGCAAGUCGAACGGUAAGGCCCUGUCGGGGGUACACGAGUGGCGCACGGGUGAGUAACACGUGAGUAACCUUCCCUCGUCGCGGGGAUAAAAGUCGGGAACGGUUGCUAAUAACGGAAAUGAGCUUGCAGGGCAUCGUGGGGGUUGGUCGGAUUUUUUUGGUUGGGGAUGGACUCGCGGGCUAUCAGCUUGUUGUUGGGGUAGUGGCUCACCAGGGCUUCGACGGGUAGCCGGCCUGCGAGGGCGACCGGCCACAUUGGGACUGAGAUACGGCCCAAACUCCUACGGGAGGCAGCAGUGGGGAAUAUUGCACAAUGGACGGAAGUCUGAUGCAGCAACGCCGCGUGCGGGAUGACGGCCUUCGGGUUGUAAACCGCUUUCAAUGGUGACGAAGCUUUUUUGUGACGGUAGCAGUAGAAGAAGCACCGGCUAACUACGUG